UACGAAGGGAGCUAGCGUUGUUCGGAAUCACUGGGCGUAAAGCGCACGUAGGCGGAUUUGUAAGUCAGGGGUGAAAUCCCGGGGCUCAACCUCGGAACUGCCUUUGAUACUGCGGAUCUCGAGUCCGAUAGAGGUGGGUGGAAUUCCUAGUGUAGAGGUGAAAUUCGUAGAUAUUAGGAAGAACACCGGUGGCGAAGGCGGCUAACUGGUCCGGUACUGACGCUGAGGUGCGAAAGCGUGGGGAGCAAACAGG
Molecule: ribosomal RNA, 253 nt
Filed under: uncultured bacterium
Lineage: Bacteria
Description: partial 16S ribosomal RNA
Rfam family: Bacterial small subunit ribosomal RNA
Source: RNAcentral